GAAUCUUAAACCCUCAGAUUCAAAACAAUCAAUUAAAUACAAAACUGAAAACAUACACAAUACUUCAUAGAAAUAUAUUGUUGAACAAAAAGAUUGCAGUAAAUAGCAUAUUUUUGGCAACAUGGCGACAUCCUGUCGAAGGACCUUAUAUUGGUUCGGCAAUGAUUCGAUCAUCAGGCCAUUUUUUAACUUUUUCAACAUUGCGAAGUUGCAUGGCAGCCAAGCCAUGCUGCAUCGACCUGAACAAACGUUAAUCAGAAUGUGCCACGUCUGACGAGUACGCUGGGCGUGACAGAACUUCCCAUUGGAACUACAACAUCAAUUCGUGUCACCACUUUCAAACCGUUGAACCCAAACCCGGCAAUUGGGAUAUGAUGAAGCGGUGUCACCA
This is a long non-coding RNA of Glossina fuscipes, 391 nucleotides long. RefSeq lists it as uncharacterized. The transcript has 3 exons. The record is from RefSeq and is a predicted model, not a curated record. NCBI's taxonomy places the organism in Eukaryota, Metazoa, Arthropoda, Insecta, Diptera, Glossinidae.